GUUCUUAUAGUUGAAUAACAACGGGGUUUUU
RNAcentral lists this transfer RNA (31 nucleotides) under Macruronus novaezelandiae (blue grenadier). RNAcentral's name for it is "partial tRNA-Glu". Lineage: Eukaryota; Metazoa; Chordata; Actinopteri; Gadiformes; Merlucciidae. The record is from RNAcentral.